RNAcentral lists this ribosomal RNA (459 nucleotides) under uncultured bacterium. RNAcentral's name for it is "partial 16S ribosomal RNA". It matches the Rfam family "Bacterial small subunit ribosomal RNA", at positions 338 to 795 of the family's 1533-position model. The record is from RNAcentral.
CCUACGGGGGGCAGCAGUGAGGAAUAUUGGUCAAUGGCCGGGAGGCUGAACCAGCCAAGUCGCGUGAGGGAAGACGGCCCUACGGGUUGUAAACCUCUUUUGUCAGGGAGCAAGGUGCAGGUCGGGACCUGCUGUGAGAGUACCUGAAGAAAAAGCAUCGGCUAACUCCGUGCCAGCAGCCGCGGUAAUACGGAGGAUGCGAGCGUUAUCCGGAUUUAUUGGGUUUAAAGGGUGCGCAGGCGGAGGCACAAGUCAGCGGUAAAAUCGCGGGGCGCAACCCCGCUCCGCCGUUGAAACUGUGUCCCUGGAGUGCGGGAGGGGCAGGCGGAAUUCCUGGUGUAGCGGUGAAAUGCGUAGAUAUCAGGAGGAACACCGGCGGCGAAGGCGGCCUGCUGGACCGCGACUGACGUUGAGGCUCGAAAGCGUGGGGAGCGAACAGGAUUAGAUACCCUGGUAGUC